GGAAGUAUGGGUGAUAUGGCCGAAAUAUCUGUCACCACAUUGAUCACCAGGGUUGAUUUGGCUGAUCUGGCUGAUUGGGUGGGCGUCCCUCCUCCUUCCUCACAGCUCCAUGUGCAUCCCUCCCAAAGCUACACUCUUGAUCAAAGAGGUUGACCUUCCCUGAGUAGAGGAGAAUGGGUCUUCACCAAGUAGCUAUGCUUCCUGCUAGGACCUCCAAACAAAUUCAGGGAGCUGAGUGUUCAUGGUGCCUGUCUACCUGAGAUGGUAUGCACACAGCACAAUAGGCAG
This 288-nucleotide small nuclear RNA is filed under the name Meriones unguiculatus (Mongolian gerbil). RNAcentral describes it as "7SK RNA (ENSMUGG00000007695.1)". It matches the Rfam family "7SK RNA". From Rfam's summary of the family: 7SK was discovered as an abundant small nuclear RNA in the mid-70s but a possible function has only recently been suggested. The record is from RNAcentral. Lineage: Eukaryota; Metazoa; Chordata; Mammalia; Rodentia; Muridae.